UACAGAGGGGGCAAGCGUUGUUCGGAAUUACUGGGCGUAAAGGGCGCGUAGGUGGCCUUCUUAGUCAGACGUGAAAUCCCCAGGCUUAACCUGGGAACUGCGUCUGAUACUGGAAGGCUCGAGUUCGGGAGAGGAAUGUGGAAUUCCAGGUGUAGCGGUGAAAUGCGUAGAUAUCUGGAGGAACACCGGUGGCGAAGGCGGCAUUCUGGGCCGAAACUGACGCUGAGGCGCGAAAGCCAGGGGAGCAAACGGG
This 253-nucleotide ribosomal RNA is filed under the name uncultured bacterium. RNAcentral describes it as "partial 16S ribosomal RNA". It matches the Rfam family "Bacterial small subunit ribosomal RNA", at positions 524 to 776 of the family's 1533-position model. The record is from RNAcentral.